RNAcentral lists this ribosomal RNA (253 nucleotides) under uncultured prokaryote. RNAcentral describes it as "partial 16S ribosomal RNA". It matches the Rfam family "Bacterial small subunit ribosomal RNA", at positions 525 to 777 of the family's 1533-position model. The record is from RNAcentral.
ACGUAGGGUGCAAGCGUUAAUCGGAAUUACUGGGCGUAAAGCGUGCGCAGGCGGUUUCGUAAGUCUGUCGUGAAAUCCCCGGGCUUAACCUGGGAAUGGCGAUGGAGACUGCCAAGCUCGAGGCAGAUAGAGGGAUGUAGAAUUCCGGGUGUAGUGGUGAAAUGCGUAGAGAUCCGGAGGAAUACCAGAGGCGAAGGCGGCAUCCUGGGUCUGACCUGACGCUGAGACGCGACAGCAUGGGGAGCGAACAGGA